CACACAUAAAAUACCUUAAACCCACUUCCUACACUAACUUGUUUGUCAUCUCUGUUUUCAGUCAGUCUAUAGCGGUGUGUUUGAGAGAUGGCUUGAGCACGCCAGAUGAUCUCUCCAUCCCUGUAAGCACACACACCCUCAUCAUUAUCCCCCAACUCUGGGUAACCAUCAAAAUCAUGAACAUCAAGGCUAUGAAUCAGCACCACGUACAUGACCUCCUGCUUGUAGAUUACAGUCUCAUAAACUCUAAGGACAGGGUGUGCUCCUCCACAGAACUGUGUGCUGUACUCUUUCAUAACAUCAGCCAGUGAGAAAGUGAACCGGAAGUUUCCAUAGCGAGAGCCAUCCUUAAACACAGGAGAGGUGGUGAAUUUCCGCAGGAAAGGCUCCUGUCGCUCUCUCUCUUCUCCACUCCGACCAGGGAAGAGUUUCUCCAGGUACCUCUCCUCUGCAGUAGUGAUCUCGCUUUCACCAAUCACUGUCCCCCACCACAAGAGGCCAGGACUCCUAUCCCCUCCUCUAAACCCUUUGAGGUCCAGAAUCCCUUCCAUACCAUCUGUAGUCGUGACGUGAGAUACUCUUGAACAAUGGAAUUCUACAGGUCGAGGAUAAUGUGGAACUUUGCCCUUAGGUGGUUUAUUUGGUUCAGCCACAUUUCUACCAAUGUACCCGUUGCGGUGUUUCAUGACGUUUUUCUUCUUCAGAUCAUCUAUAGCCAUGUGUUCCCCACGUACAUAAUGUUCAUCGA
Molecule: long non-coding RNA, 748 nt
Organism: Clupea harengus (Atlantic herring)
Lineage: Eukaryota; Metazoa; Chordata; Actinopteri; Clupeiformes; Clupeidae
Source: Ensembl